GACGAACCGUGCGAACGUUGUUCGGAUUCACUGGGCUUAAAGGGCGCGUAGGCGGUCAAUCAAGUCCGGGGUGAAAUCUUUCGGCUUAACCGGAAAAGUGCCUCGGAUACUGAUUGGCUGGAGGGAGGUAGGGGCAGCUGGAACUUCCAGUGGAGCGGUGAAAUGCGUUGAUAUUGGAAGGAACGCCGGUGGCGAAAGCGAGCUGCUGGACCUCUUCUGACGCUGAGGCGCGAAAGCUAGGGGAGCAAACGGG
This 253-nucleotide ribosomal RNA is filed under the name uncultured bacterium. Its description in RNAcentral is "partial 16S ribosomal RNA". It matches the Rfam family "Bacterial small subunit ribosomal RNA", at positions 524 to 776 of the family's 1533-position model. The record is from RNAcentral.